Bos taurus (domestic cattle) is the source of this 363-nucleotide long non-coding RNA. The record is from Ensembl. NCBI's taxonomy places the organism in Eukaryota, Metazoa, Chordata, Mammalia, Artiodactyla, Bovidae.
GAUAUAUACUUGGUUACUUUUACUUGUUAUUUGAUGAAAAAAAACAAGAUUUACAUGGAAGCGUUGAGCUGCCCAAAGUUAAACUCUGUUGCAGAUCUUGUUUUCAGCCGAGAGGACCAGAUGCAGAGGUGUCUAUUGAAAAGAAUAAAACAAUGAUGAGAGGGAAACAGAGGUGGCAGAUGGCAAGAAAAGCUCUUCUGUGCACUAGUCGCCAUCACCAGGUGUUCCUCAGGCCCAAACAGAUCCCUAAACUUCCUGCUACAUUAAGGAGAACACCAUCUCAGUGUCUGCCCGUGUAAUAGGUGGUUAAUAAAUACAAACUUAAUCUGAAUCUUGAGAGGGAGGAAUCAUAACUACAUCUGU